UGUGAACUAAUUUUAACUUUCUUCUUGUUUUUCAGAAGACUUACAGAACUCAGUCUAAGGCGGAGUUCAUAUUAUCUGAAAAACGCUUUGGAAAAGCAAGUUGGGCCAGUGAGCAGUAAGGGGUGUUUCCACUAACCAACAUUGUUGCCAGGAUUGCGUAAGCGUGGGGCGGGUCUAUCAAAAGAAGGUCCAGAUUCUAUUGGGAUGCCACGUGGAAAGGGUUUCCGGCGGUCCCAGGCAGCGAAAAGAAGGAUGGCUGACCGUUAUGCUGUUGGUUCCUCCAUGGACUUGGCAGAGGUUGUGCCACCUCUUAAAAAAGAGGCACAUGUGCCAUACUCGGCAUUGCUGAGUGCAAAUAAGACCAAUGUUAUUCCAAAGUGUUCAAAUGCUCUUCCAAUAUCAAACAACACUCCUCCAAUGUGUACCAAAACUCCUCCAUUGUAUACCAAGACAACUCCAAUGUGUACCACAACUUCUCCAAUGUCUUCCAAGACAAGUCCAAUGUGUACCACAACUCCUCCAAUGUCUACCAAGACAAGUCCAAUGUGUACCACAACUUCUCCAAUGUCUACCAAGACAAGUCCAAUGUGUAUCAUAAAUUCUCCAAGAUCUAAGAAAACCUAUAGUGAUAUUGUAAAAACUUUGGAUGCCAAUAACUCUGAUCAGUUUAUACAAAAAGUCAUACAGGGUUCAUUCCAUCAGGGUGAUGCACGGUUUAGUUUUAACCGUAACAGACAGUGUGCAGUAAAUAGCAUUAUGGCUAUAAUGAUGAGUGAGCUAAAGAAUGUUCUGACAUGGACAACAGAAGACCUGAAUGCUGUUCUAAUGAAAGGAGAUGAGCUGUACACAUGUAUGCGACUGCAGGGGAAGAUCAAUGAUGAGACAGGCCGAGGACAUGUUUCUAUUGCUGAAUUGCCAACUGUGCACACACUGUAUAAUACAAUAUUUUCAAUAAA
Paramisgurnus dabryanus is the source of this 956-nucleotide non-coding RNA. The record is from RefSeq and is a predicted model, not a curated record. NCBI's taxonomy places the organism in Eukaryota, Metazoa, Chordata, Actinopteri, Cypriniformes, Cobitidae.